RNAcentral lists this ribosomal RNA (879 nucleotides) under Corynebacterium sanguinis. RNAcentral's name for it is "bacterial SSU rRNA". It matches the Rfam family "Bacterial small subunit ribosomal RNA", at positions 1 to 888 of the family's 1533-position model. Lineage: Bacteria; Bacillati; Actinomycetota; Actinomycetes; Mycobacteriales; Corynebacteriaceae. The record is from RNAcentral.
UUUUUUUUUUUUUUAUUUAUUUUUCUUCUGCGGAUGACGCUGGCGGCGUGCUUAACACAUGCAAGUCGAACGGAAAGGCCACAGCUUGCUGUGGUACUCGAGUGGCGAACGGGUGAGUAACACGUGGGUGAUCUGCCCUGUACUUCGGGAUAAGCUUGGGAAACUGGGUCUAAUACCGGAUAGGACUAACAUGUGGAUGGGUGGUUGGAAAGCUUUUGCGGUAUGGGAUGAGCUCGCGGCCUAUCAGCUUGUUGGUGGGGUAAUGGCCUACCAAGGCGUCGACGGGUAGCCGGCCUGAGAGGGUGUACGGCCACAUUGGGACUGAGAUACGGCCCAGACUCCUACGGGAGGCAGCAGUGGGGAAUAUUGCACAAUGGGCGCAAGCCUGAUGCAGCGACGCCGCGUGGGGGAUGACGGCCUUCGGGUUGUAAACUCCUUUCGUCAGGGACGAAGCGAAAGUGACGGUACCUGGAUAAGAAGCACCGGCUAACUACGUGCCAGCAGCCGCGGUAAUACGUAGGGUGCGAGCGUUGUCCGGAAUUACUGGGCGUAAAGAGCUCGUAGGUGGUUUGUCGCGUCGUUUGUGUAAGUCCACGGCUUAACUGUGGGAUGGCAGGCGAUACGGGCAUAACUUGAGUGCUGUAGGGGAGACUGGAAUUCCUGGUGUAGCGGUGAAAUGCGCAGAUAUCAGGAGGAACACCGAUGGCGAAGGCAGGUCUCUGGGCAGUAACUGACGCUGAGGAGCGAAAGCAUGGGUAGCGAACAGGAUUAGAUACCCUGGUAGUCCAUGCCGUAAACGGUGGGCGCUAGGUGUGAGUCCCUUCCACGGGGUUCGUGCCGUAGCUAACGCAUUAAGCGCCCCGCCUGGAGACGCGACUG